AAUACGGGUGGGAGAAGGGGGGAAUAGGGGACAAGGGGCGAAAGCCUGAUCCAGCCAUGCCGCGUGUGUGAAGAAGGCCUUCGGGUUGUAAAGCACUUUCAGUGGGGAAGAAAGCCUUGGGGCUAAUACCCUCGAGGAAGGACAUCACCCACAGAAGAAGCACCGGCUAACUCCGUGCCAGCAGCCGCGGUAAUACGGAGGGUGCGAGCGUUAAUCGGAAUUACUGGGCGUAAAGCGCGCGUAGGCGGUCUGAUAAGCCGGUUGUGAAAGCCCCGGGCUCAACCUGGGAACGGCAUCCGGAACUGUCAGGCUAGAGUGCAGGAGAGGAAGGUAGAAUUCCCGGUGUAGCGGUGAAAUGCGUAGAGAUCGGGAGGAAUACCAGUGGCGAAGGCGGCCUUCUGGACUGACACUGACGCUGAGGUGCGAAAGCGUGGGUAGCAAACAGGAUUAGAUACCCCAGUAGUC
Molecule: ribosomal RNA, 465 nt
Filed under: Vreelandella stevensii
Lineage: Bacteria; Pseudomonadati; Pseudomonadota; Gammaproteobacteria; Oceanospirillales; Halomonadaceae
Description: partial 16S ribosomal RNA
Rfam family: Bacterial small subunit ribosomal RNA
Source: RNAcentral